Molecule: long non-coding RNA, 470 nt
Filed under: Panax ginseng (ginseng)
Lineage: Eukaryota; Viridiplantae; Streptophyta; Magnoliopsida; Apiales; Araliaceae
Description: long non-coding RNA (PGIN_LNC005788)
Source: RNAcentral
AUAUUUUUUCUUUUUGAUUAUGCCGCAAUCAUAACCAACAAAGCAUCUGUAAAAAAAAUCGUGUUCUAGCGGAUGUAUAUUAUCAGUGAAAAGAAAUUGGUGAAAAGGAAUUGGGCGAGCUGCGAUAUGAUUCCCCCUACGAAUUAGGGUCGUGAAAGUGAAAAGGAAUUGGGAAUUGGGGCUGCUGUGAGUGGUGAAAAGAAAGUGGGCGAGCUGCGAUGCGAUUUCUCCCUGUGAAUUAGGGAUGUAAAAGUUAAAAGGAAUUGAGAAUUGGGGAAUUGGGGCUGGUGUGUUUUUAGAUUUCUCCCUGCGAAUUAGGGCUGUGAAAGUGAAUUGGGGUUGCGUUUUUAGCAAUUUAUGCGAUUUGGAAUUGGAACCCUACUCCGCAAUUGAUUGUAGAUCGGCAGAGUUGAAUUAGGUCAAACUUACUGGUAACAGAACUCCCAAAGCUAAAGCUUAGUUUUAUGUAA